This 73-nucleotide transfer RNA is filed under the name Camelus ferus (Wild Bactrian camel). It matches the Rfam family "tRNA". Rfam says of the family: Transfer RNA (tRNA) molecules are approximately 80 nucleotides in length. Their secondary structure includes four short double-helical elements and three loops (D, anti-codon, and T loops). Further hydrogen bonds mediate the characteristic L-shaped molecular structure. tRNAs have two regions of fundamental functional importance: the anti-codon, which is responsible for specific mRNA codon recognition, and the 3' end, to which the tRNAs corresponding amino acid is attached (by aminoacyl-tRNA synthetases). tRNAs cope with the degeneracy of the genetic code in two manners: having more than one tRNA (with a specific anti-codon) for a particular amino acid; and 'wobble' base-pairing, i.e. permitting non-standard base-pairing at the 3rd anti-codon position. The record is from Rfam by way of RNAcentral. Lineage: Eukaryota; Metazoa; Chordata; Mammalia; Artiodactyla; Camelidae.
GGAGGGAUAGCUCAAGUGGUAUAGUACAUGCCUAGCAUGAAGAAGGUCCUGGGUUCGAUCCCCAGUACCUCCU